This 84-nucleotide transfer RNA is filed under the name Proteobacteria bacterium CAG:139. It matches the Rfam family "tRNA". From Rfam's summary of the family: Transfer RNA (tRNA) molecules are approximately 80 nucleotides in length. Their secondary structure includes four short double-helical elements and three loops (D, anti-codon, and T loops). Further hydrogen bonds mediate the characteristic L-shaped molecular structure. tRNAs have two regions of fundamental functional importance: the anti-codon, which is responsible for specific mRNA codon recognition, and the 3' end, to which the tRNAs corresponding amino acid is attached (by aminoacyl-tRNA synthetases). tRNAs cope with the degeneracy of the genetic code in two manners: having more than one tRNA (with a specific anti-codon) for a particular amino acid; and 'wobble' base-pairing, i.e. permitting non-standard base-pairing at the 3rd anti-codon position. Lineage: Bacteria; Pseudomonadati; Pseudomonadota. RNAcentral also lists the same sequence under 1 other name. The record is from Rfam by way of RNAcentral.
GCCCGGGUGGCGAAAUUGGUAGACGCACUAGCUUCAGGUGCUAGCGCCUUCGCGGGCGUGCUGGUUCGAGUCCAGUCCCGGGCA